UAUAAAAUAAUACCUAAAUUCCUAAACUAAAAGAAGGAGAGCAACGGCGGAAGACCAUCGAUCCCCAUUUUCCUAACUCUAGGAAACUCCUGCGGCCCCGUUUUCUUCUUCUUCAACCAAGAGCACACCCUCACAAAACAGAGGACACCCAUUCAUCUUCUUCACACCCCAUUAAAAAUCAAACACCUCAAAAACAAGCCACCAAACACCACCUCAAAUCCUCCCAAACCAUCCCCUGUUUUCUGCCAUAAAAGGCCAUAAAAGCCAGCUCACAACCCAGCAAAAACAGCCCCAAAUUCAGCCAAGAAACACCCCUAAACUACAGCAAAACAAGCUGUGAAACAGCUAGGAAAAGCAGCGAAAAUCAGCUGCAAGAUACUCCAAAUCGCAACCCCUCUUCUCCCUUAAAAUCACCCAACAAAUCAGCCAAAUUAAUUGAACAAAAUAGCACCAAACCACCCCGAAACAGCCACUUUUACUAUGUCAAAAGAGAGGAUACCGGCGAGUUCAGGCUCCUUGUUUGAAGUCGGCGUUCGAGUCACUUGAGGUUCGAAAGCUCUGGUCCGAGAUUUUGUUGUUGUUCGAAUUUUUGUAUUCUCGAGUUCGACUUUUGGUUGUGGUUCGAUUUUCUUUUGCUUGUUGAACUCAGCACCUCAGGACAAUAUUUGUUGUAAGCGGAUUCAUAGCAUUCUCCACAUAUAUUAAAGGAAAAUUAUUUCAGGUCCAUCCCUUCCCUUUCUUCUAUUUGUUUGCUUUUAAUGUGUUGUGUAGGAAUAUUGAAAGAGCCAUUACAAAAUAGAAUUGGAAUUCUAAUUUGUAAGUAGUGAGAUGUUGGUUGUGAUGGAGAUAUUCACAUUAUUAAUAUUGAGGUUAAAAUUGAUUAAAAUUUAUGAGACUUUCAUGAAUAGUCUGCAUAAUAUUUGGUUCUUAUCGAAGCCUGGUCUAACUUAGUUUUGUUCACGCAUGCGAUUUUGAUAUUUGGAUCUUGUUCUUCUUAUGAAUCUGCGCUUGAUUGCUGAAGCAUCUAGUAGAUGAAAACAAUAAUACUUGCUUUCAAAAAAUUUGUUUCUAAACAUGGAAUAUGUGGGAAAAUCUCAUUUGUAUCUUGGGAGAUUACUCUAAAAUGAACGAGCUUCUUAACAUUAGAAUAACAUUUUCUUCAUGAUAAAUGGAUUAAAAAUGGUUAAAAGUGAGGAUCUACUAUAUUUUUUAUGAUUAAGAUUUGGUGAGUAGGACAAGUAAUUGGUUUGUUAAGAAAAAAUUGUAAAUUCAAGUUUGAUUAAAUAUGAUCCUUAGUAACUAAUACAUUGAAGGAUUAGGAAAAUUGGGGUGGUCAGAAAUAUUAUAAUGGCUUUGGUAUAUUUUUCACUUAUUUGUCUCUAGCCUUUUGGAAUUUUGUUUAUCUAUUCAUUUGAUCUCCCUUUCAAUGGUUUGAGUUUUUAGUUGCUGGAUGACAAUUUUAUUUGUUUGGACAUUUGUGUGGAACGUGACGGGUAUAUGGGAAGGGGGAAGAUUGAGUCUGUAGUAAUUUCAUCCUGCUUCACAUGCUUUAGGAUUGGAUUCGGUCGAAGUGCUUGAAAUAAGCAAUUUAAAAGGGAAUGAGCAUGAAAUAUCUUCUAAUAAAGGUACUCCAUAAUUACAUGCCUUCUCACACACAAUAAUCUCGAAUAUAGAAUAACAAUUCAUAAACCUCGUAGCUUGCUUUAGGCGCGAUUAAUAAAUAAAUCAUCAUGACUAUGGGUACGGUUCCCGUGACGUAGUUAUGAUACCUAAUCCCCAAAAUCGGGUGUGCAUUUCACUUAACAACUUCGAAUAAUAACAAAAUACACAUGUCGUGAAUUAUAGGUGCAUUUCAUGUAGCGUUGCUUGCGGUGUGUUCCAAAACGACAAGUAUACGACAAUUGUAACUUAUUCAAGAAAUAAUUCCAUAACUCUUAAAGCGGUUAAAAUAAUAAAAAGUGGUUAUAAAGUCAAAAUGCACAAUAGGUUUUAAAACAUGUAUAAAUCAUAUAAUAGGCCAAUUAUUAAUAGUUUAAGCGACCGUGCUAGAACCACGGAACCCAGGAGUGGCUAACUCCUUCUCCCGGGUUAACAGAAUUCCUUAUCUAGAAUUUUUGCUUUGCAAACUUUUUAAUAAAGUCAAAUUUCCUCGACUUGGGAUUUUAAAAUAAGCCGAUGACUUUGGACACCAAUUAAAAUAUUCCAAGUGGUGACUCUGAAAAAUUAAAUAAAUUAAUCUCAUUUCGAUUUAUGUCACUUUAAUUGGAAAACUCCCUUAUAUUACCCUCGGGUGGUAAAACAAUGAGGUGUGACACCCAGUAUCCACAAACCACUACCUAUCACACUCCUCAGAAUGCAUCACAACCUUUCCCCGAUCCUCAAAACUCAACCAACGACCACCACUAUACCUAAAUCCCGAGAGUCCAUCAAAGCAACCUCAUAUACGUAGAAACCUUACCCCACACUCCACAACAAACCUUAUACAUACCUGAAUCCACCGAAAAGGACCUGCUCAUCAAGAACAUGGCAGAGGAACUUAAGAAUCUCACAAGUCGAGUCCAAGGUGUCGAAAGGGGUAAAGGUAUUGAGGGAUUGAACUAUGAGGAUCUCUGCAUUCAGCCGGACGUAGAACUGCCAGAGGGUUACAAACCUCCUAAGUUCGAGAAGUUUGAUAGAACAGGUGACCCAAAGGUACAUCUAAGGACAUACUGUGACAAGCUCGUAGGAGUUGGAAAGGAUUCACAUGAAAUUAUUCACGAGGAGACUCACUAGAGACGCCCUAUCUUGGUACAUUAGUCAAAAUCCAAUGAAAUGCGUUAAUUGGGUAAGCAUGACAUCGGAUUUCAUGGAUCAGUUUAGGUUUAAUACAGAGAAUGCACCAGAUAUCUUCUAUAUCCAAAACCUCAAGAAAAAUCCAAUAGAGACUUUCUGCGAGUAUGCUACUCGGUGGAGAUCGGAAGCUGCGAAAGUGAGGCCGGCAUUAGAGGAAGAGCAAAUGAACAAAUUCUUUGUUCGGGCCCAGGAUCCACAACACUAUGAGAGGUUAAUGGUUAUUGAGAAUCACAAGUUCUCUGACAUCACUAAAUUAGGGGAAAGGAUUGAAGAAGGAAUCAAGAGCGGAAUGGUAACUAAUUUUGAGGCAUUACAGGCUACGAACAAAGCUUUGUAGUCAGGGGGUAAAUCCAAAAAGAAAGAUGUAGGAGCCGUGAUGGUAGCCCAAGGACUAAAAUCUCUUCUUACAUACCAAACCCCACCACCCACAUAUCAGCCUUUACCUCCCAAAUACCAACAACCUGCCACCACCUACCAUACUUAUAAUGCACAACCUGCAUAUUACCACUCCUUACCACCAGCCCACCAAAACUACCAGAAACCCAAACCAAAUUUUGACCGUAGACCACCCAGACAAUAUACUCCCAUUGCUGAACCCAUUGAUCAGCUUUAUGAAAGGUUGAAGGCUGCCAGUUAUGUCACCCUCAUUCCCGUUGUUGCUAUGAAAAACUCUUCCUAGUGGGCCAAUCCAAACAAAACAUGUGCCUAUCACUCGGGAAUGAAAGGAAACACUAUUGAUGAAUGUCGCACUUUGAAGGAUAAGAUCCAGACGUUGAUUGACACCAAAGUUAUACAAGUAAAAGAGGUUGCACCAAAUAUCCGCAAUAACCCCCUCCCAGAUCAUAGGCGCAAGAGGGUAAAUGUGAUCAAAACUAAUGAAGAAUGGGAUCCGUAAGGAUCAAUUGGACUCAUUCGUGAAGGGGAUAAAACCACCAUACCUCCAGUCACUCUCACACCCAUUAUAGUGCAAAUUCAGUCACCAAUUGAGGUUGAAAUACCACGCCAGCUCCGUUUGAGGUUAAAACAACAAUGCACAUAACCGCACCAGCUCCAUUUGAAGUGGAGGUGACUGCACCCUUCACUGUGACGGUAGCACCCACACCAUCCUUAAUUCCAAUGCUAUAACAUGGGACUAUGCUGCAAAGGCGACGAGGAAAGGAAACGGGAAAAUGGAAGAGACAAGUGUCGCACAAGGCAUGACCAAGACCGGUAGGGUUUAUACACCUAAGCAUUUGGGAGUAAAAAGUAAAGAAGAUUCUCUCAAACAACCUAUCAUUGAAGCCGGCCAGAUAAGGUGCAAGCAAGGGAGUACUGUGUAGUGGACCAUUUGAACAAAACCCUUGCUCAGAUUUCCAUUCUGUCACUGCUUCAAAAUUCUGAGAUGCAUAGGAAUGCGUUAAUGAAAGUAUUGAACGAAGCUUACGUGCCCAACAACAUCACUAGUGGAGAGAUGGACAACAUGGUAGAAAAAGUAUUGGAGAGCCACAAAAUCACCUUUCAGGAAGACGAACUACCACCUGAAGGACUGAGUCACAACAGGGCACUGCACAUCAUAGUACAGUUUGAGGACAAAUUCAUAGCCAGAGUCCUAAUAGAUGGGGGUUCGAGCCUCAACAUUUGUCCGUUGACUACUUUGAAAAGGUUGGCAAGGAUUUCCAUGAGAUACGAGCAGGGAGUAUGAAUGUGAAAACAUUUGAUGGGUCUCAAAGGGACAUAAUUGGAGAAAUCAACCUUUGUUUUCAGAUUGGCCUGACUUGGUUUGGUGUUGAGUUUCAUGUAUUGGACAUAUCCGCCACGUACAAUCUGCUGUUGGGACGACCUUGGAUAUAUGUUGCUGGAGCCGUAGCUUCUACGCUACACCAGGCCGUGAAGUUCGAUUGGAACCAUCAGGAGGUGAUCAUUUAUGGAGACGGAAGUAAUCCCAUUUACACCAAUCAAACCAUUCCGGUUAUCGAGAAUAGAAGGAAGUUGGGUGGAGAAAUGUAUCAUCGCAUCGAGUGUAUCAAUGCAAUAGAGAAAGACAAGUGGUGGAGUAAUAAGAUUGAAAACAUACUAUUAUGGACAGGGUAUGAACCUGGUAAAGGUCUCGACAAGAAUCUCCAAGGUAUCACUAAGCCAAUACAACCAAAACGCCACGGUAACACCUUUGGAAUUGGAUAUCAUUACACCUCGCAGUAGUAUGAUGAUUGGCCGCCGCCAUGGCAUGGUCCCUAUUACCCUCUUGAACCGCCAAUACCGCAUCUGCAUCAGACAUUUCAACAGACUGACGUGAUAUGGGGGUCUGAAAAAGAUGAGGCUUUAGCUGGCCUAAGGAAUCUAUUUCUAGACGAUGAAGACAUGGACUGCAAUGCAAUAGUUGAGGAGGAGGAGGAAGACCUUACAAUCCAGAUCGUGGGACAGGGAGCUGUUCUCAAGAAUUGGACUAUUGCACCAUCCCGGGCCCGUCGAGUUCCUGGGUAGCCUGCCAAUUAGCAUGAUCUAUUUUUUAAAAGCAAUUUUAAGCAUUUAAGAUAUUUUCAAUAUUUUGUUUAGACGCAUUUUGUUUUGAAAUAAUUGCUCGAGUUAUCGGGUCGUACUUGUUUUAAUGUUCUCAAGAUUUAUCGAAUGCAUUGUUAUUUUAAUAUUUAUUAAUAUCUUUUAAAUUUUCUCUCUACAACAUUAUUAUUAUUUAUCUUGAUGAACCAAUGACUGUGACAUGUAAUGAGACAAUGCAACAUAAGGAUAGUGAUUCGGAAGAGAUAGACGAAGAGGAUGUGAUACCCGAGGAAAUUGUCAGAGAAGUUGAGAAUUUUGAGAAUAAGUCAAAGUCCAACCUAGACGAAACUGAAAUAGUCAACUUAGGAGAUUCCAUAACAGCCAAAGAAACUCGCAUAAGUAUCCACUUGUCACCAUGAGAAAAAGAAGAAUACACCUGUUUCCUAAAGGAGUAUGAAGACAAGACAUUUUUGCAUGGUCUUAUGAUGAUAUGACUGGUUUGAGCACAUCUAUAGCGGCUCAUAAACUACCUACCGAUAUGAUGUGUCUGCCUGUAAAAUAGAAACUCAGAAAGUUCACGCCUAAUAUGAGUCUGAAAAUCAAAGAGGAAGUCACCAAGCAGAUCAAAGCUAAGGUUCUCAGAGUGGUUGAAUACCCUACUUGGUUGACCAAUAUCGUGCCAGUUCCGAAGAAGGAUGGGAAAGUCAGGGUGUGUGUCGACUAUCGAGACCUAAACAAAUCAUGUCCCAAAGAUGAUUUCAUGUUACCCAAUAUACAUAUGUUGAUUGAAAAUUGUGCCAAACAUGAACUCCAAUCCUUUGUGGAUUGCUUCGCGGGAUACCAUCAGAUCUGGAUGGACGAGGAAUAUGCCGAGAAAACAGCCUUUAUCACUCUGUGGGGGAUGUAUUGUUAUAAAAUGAUGUCAUUUGGUAUGAAGAAUGUUGGAGCCACUUACAUGAGAGUCAUGACGACCAUUUUCCAUGAUAUGAUUCACAAAGAAAUAGAGGUGUACGUGGAUGACAUCAUCAUCAAAUCUAGAAGAAGCACAAAUCAAAUAGCAGAUUUAAGGAAAUUCUUUAAUCGGCUUCGAAGGUAUAAUCUAAAACUGAAUCCUACAAAGUGUGUCUUCAGAGUCCCUACUAGAAAAUUGCUAGGUUUCAUCGUCAGUCGUCGAGGGAUUGAAUUAGACCCUUCAAAGGCCAAAGCAAUACAAGAUUUUCCACCUCCGAAAAGGAAGAAAGAUGUGAUGAGUUUCUAGGGGCGUCUCCAUUACAUCAGCCGAUUCAUAGCACAAUCGACCAUGAUCUGUGAGCCAAUUUUCAAAAUGCUGAAGAAAGAUGCUGCAACAAAAUGGACUGAAGAAUGUCAGAAAGCCUUUGACAGAAUCAAGGAAUACCUAUCCAUACCACCAGUCUUGGUCCUGCCGGAACCUGGUAGACCUCUGCUACUCUAUUUGUCCGUACUAGAUGGAGCUUUCGGUUGUGUCUUGGGACAACAUGAUGAGAUGGGAAGAAAGGAAUAGGCCAUAUACUAUCUGAGUAAGAAGUUCACACCUUUUGAGGCAUGGUAUUCUUUGUUGGAACACACUUGCUGUGUCCUGACGUGGAUAACUCAGAAAUUGAGGCACUACUUUUGUGCCUACACUAUAUAUCUCAUAUCAAGGAUGGAUCCUAUGAAGUGCAUCUUUCAGAAACCAAUGCCUACAGGGAAACUAGCCAAAUAGUAGAUAUUGUUAAGUGAGUUUGAUAUUAUCUAUAUGACUCAAAAGGCAGUCAAAGGACAGACACUAGCAGAUCAUCUUGCGGAAAAUCAUGUGGGAGGGGAAUACGAACCAUUGAAAACAUAUUUUCCCGAUGAAGAAGUGUCAUUUGUAGGAGAAGAUAUUACCAAAGCCUAUGAUAGUUGGAGAAUGUUCUUCGACGGAGCUGCAAAUUUUAAAGGAGUAGGUAUUAGAGCAGUUUUGGUGAGAGGUCAACAUUAUCCGGUAUCCGCGAAGCUCAGGUUUUCGCGCACCAACAAUAUGGCAGAAUAUGAGGCUUGCAUUAUGGGGCUCAAUUUGGCCAUCGACAUAAAUAUACAGGAAUUGUUGGUAAUUGGUGAUUCAGAUCUUCUGGUACAUCAGGUUCUAGGAGAGUGGGCUACCAUGAAUUCCAAGAUAUUGCCAUAUUUAUAUCACGUACAAGAGUUGAUGAAAAGAUUCACAAAGAUAGAAUUCAAACAUGUUUCGAGAAUCCAGAAUGAGUUUGCAGAUGCGCUAGCCACUUUGUCGUCCAUGAUACAGCAUCCGGACAAGAAUUUCAUCUAUCCUAUUCUAGUGAGAAUCCAUAAUCAGCCAGCUUAUUGCGCUCAUGUUGAAGAAGAAACAGAUGGGAAUCCAUGGUACCAUGAUAUCAAAGAAUACUUGGCAAAAGGAGAAUACCCAGAGCAUGCAAAUCAUACUCAGAAAUGCACGCUCCGGAGAUUGUCCAAUCAUUUCUUCCAAAGUGGAGGAAUUUUGUAUAGAAGAACUCCAGACCUAAGGUUAUUACGGUGUGUCGACACCAAAGAAGCUUCCAGACUGCUCGAGGAAAUACACGGUGGAACCUACGGAUCGCACAUGAAUGGUUUCGUUCUAGCCAAGAAGAUAUUAAGAGCAGGAUACUUUUGGAUGACUGUGGAAACAGACUGUAUCAGGUAUGUCCAGAAGUAUCACUAGUGUCAGGUACAUGCAGAUAUGAUACGGUACCACCAAAUGAACUCAAUGCAACAAGUGCACCUUGGCCUUUCGCCGCUUGGGGAAUAGAUGUCAUCGGUCCGAUCGAGCCCGCCGCUUCAAACGGGCACAGAUUCAUUUUAGCGGCCGUAGACUACUUCACAAAAUGGGUUGAGGCUGCAUCUUACAAGGCUGUAACAAAGAAAGUCAUCGUAGAUUUUGUCAAGGACGUAUUGUUUGCCGAUUCGGGGUACCAGAAUCCAUCAUUACCAACAAUGCCACCAAACUCAAUAGCGAUUUAAUGAAAGCUAUGUGUGAAACCUUCAAGAUCAAGCAUAAGAAUUUCACAGCAUACAGACCUCAAAUGAAUGGAGCCGUGGAAGCCGCCAACAAAAACAUCAAGAAAAUCCUGAGAAAAAUGGUAGACAACCACAAUCAAUGUCACGAGAAAUUACCAUUUGCCUUAUUGGGAUAUCGUACCACAGUUCACACAUCAAUCGGAGAAACUCCCUACAUUCUAGUUUACGGUACUGAGGCUGUCAUUCUCGUCGAGGUCAAGAUUCCUUCUUUGAGAAUUAUAUAGGAAGCAGAACUUAGUGAUGCAGAAUGGAAAAGGAGUCGCUAUGAAUAAUUGGCUCUUAUCGACGGAAAAAGAAUGAAUGCAGUAUGUCAUAGUCAACUGUAUCAAAACAGAAUGUCCAAAGCUUUCAACAAUAGGGUCAAACCUAGACAGUUCACUCUGGGGAAGCUGGUGAUGAAAUGAAUCUUCCCACAUCAAGAUGAAGCCAAAGGGAAAUUUUCACCUAAUUGGCAAGGGCCCUACAUAGUUCACAGGGUACUAACAGUAGGAGCACUCAUUCUUGCAGAAAUAGAUGGAGAAGUUUGGCCAAAGCUAUCAAUUCGGACGCAGUCAAGAGAUAUUAUAUUUAAAUUAUUUACAUUUCUUUUGAUGUAACUGAACUACGCUUGACCUGCUUCCCGUUUAAGAGAGGAUACGUAGGCAGCCCUGUGGGUUCGGUCACAUCUCAAUAAAAUUUUCAUUUUCCCCACAACCAGAAACUAGGGCAGAAUUUUGAGGACCCUAAAAAUUCCGGAGCAAGUCCAACCGAAGUCAUCAUAUGCAAGACAAUCAGAGAAUCGGUUAAGUAAAUGGGGCAGAAUUUUGAGAAGGAUUCUCAAAAUUCCGAAGCAAAUCCAACAAACUUUGUCGCAUGCAAAACGGCCGAAGAAUCUCUUACUAAACUGGGGCAGAAUUUUGAGGAGGACCCUCAAAAUUCUAAUGCAAAGAAGUCGCAAUGUCUCUAAAAUUGUCGCAGUCAUUAGUUCAUCUAAUUUACUUGAUAUUACAUACUACUAUGUUUUAAAAUAAAUAUGUUUAUCAAAUGCAUGCAUACUUUUUGAAAACUUCAUUUCUAUGAAAGCCAGAUGUUACCCAUGGUAACUUGAACAGGAUCUCCUGAGAAAAGUAAAGCAAAACAAGUAGGCAAAGGCAUGGACCAACCUUCCCUACAAAACUCAUGAUUUUUCUUUGGAUGCAGGCACAAUGAACAUGACAGGAGCAUUCGCAAGUAUACACGUACCAAAAUCACUAUCUUUAUAAUGGCAAGGCUGCCAAACGCAAAUAUGUCUCCAGAUAAGAAAAUAUUCUGCCACUACUUAUUAUUUGUUCAAUGCAUAAGGCUAAGCCAUGCCUCCUCAAUUGCAUAAGGCUAAGCACUGCCUUCCAUUGCAUUAGACUAAGCAUUGUCUCCUCUUUUUGCAUGAGGCAAAAGUAUGCCUCCUCAAUUACAUAAGGCUAAGCAUUGCCUUCCAUUGCAUGGGACUAAGCAUU
Molecule: long non-coding RNA, 9830 nt
Filed under: Nicotiana tabacum (common tobacco)
Lineage: Eukaryota; Viridiplantae; Streptophyta; Magnoliopsida; Solanales; Solanaceae
Description: long non-coding RNA (NTAB_LNC008229)
Source: RNAcentral